Molecule: unclassified non-coding RNA, 2423 nt
Filed under: Leishmania donovani
Lineage: Eukaryota; Euglenozoa; Kinetoplastea; Trypanosomatida; Trypanosomatidae
Description: gene:LdHU3.13.1560(CDS-product:endomembrane_prote in_putative)
Source: RNAcentral
AUUUCUUUGAUGCUGUAGCUCACUCUAUUUUGCACAGCAAAUGGGCCUUUCCUCUUUGCUGACUUCGGCAGCGCUUGUGUGCAUGCUCUGCAUAAACGCUGCCAGCGCAUCGAAGCAUACAUACCUGGGCGGUGAUGAGGUCACAGUCUUUGCUAGCAAAAUGCACCCGCACGGCAACACAUACGAGACCUAUCACUACACAUUAUUGCCAGGGUGCGCUUUGCAGGAAGAGAAGAAGUCACUCACUCUUGGUGAGCUUCUUGCAGGUGAGCGCGUCUUCACUUUAGCCACGGAUAUUCGAUUCAACCACAACACUAGCGAUAGGGUUUUGUGCAAACACAAAUUUAAUGUCUACGAAGCAAAGAUUUUGGCGUAUGUAAUCCAACGCAACUAUCGUUACGAACUCACUAUCGAUGAGCUACCAGUGUGGGGUGCGAUCGGCGACAAAAUCAGUGACAAUGAACUUUCGAUUUUCCUUCACCAGACAUUUUACAUUGGUGUGAACGGAAAUGAAAUUGUGAACGUCACGUUUGAGACGAGCUCACCAGCGAAAUUCGAAAUCGAUACCGUUUACACCUUUACAUAUUCGGUAGUUUUCGAGCCAUCGACCGUGGAGUACGCCAAUCGAUUUUCGACCGUAUUCGAAACGCGCUACGUCAGCUCACGAACGCGACUCGCCUCUCUUAUCAACACGAGCUUGAUUGUGCUGCUACUUUUUUCUCUCAUCGCACUCAUUCUUUCGCGAACGCUGCGCAGCGAGCACGCGAAAAUAGAAAGGGAGGCGCAGUUUCGUUUGGAAGGGCAGGACAUCAUCGACGAGUCAGGGUGGAGGUGCCUGUACGCGGAUGUAUUUCGGGUGCCGCGACAUACUGGCAUAUUUUGUGCCAUCCUUGGGUGCGGCACGCAGCUUCUGCUGCUGACAGCCUUGACCAUUUUUUUGUCUGUCGUGAGUAAUCAUCGUACCUCGAUGAGCCACAACUUGGUGACCUUUUCUGUGCUUGGCUAUGUCUUCACUAGUAGCAUUGCCGGCUAUGUUUCCGGAUAUCAGUUUAUGGGGUGUGGCUUUAUGGCACCGCCCAUGGCGUCGAAGUGGAUUCGCGCAUUUCAUGUCACUUUCCUCUUGGUGCCAGUGAUUUACACGACGGUCUUUUCCCCCACCUGGUUUGUUGCAAUGAUAUAUGGGUCUUCGAAACUUCCGUGCUUCAAAGGAGUCAUUAUUGUUCUGUGUUUGUGGGUCUUCGUUGCAUACCCGCUGUGCCUCGCCGGCGUUCUAUGCAGCCGCUACGUAUUUCGGCGAACGGAGCGGAGAAGAAAUAUCCCGCACGUCAAUCAAAUUCCACGCCUCAUUCCGCGGCCACCGCGGAAAUUGCUAGCACCUCGCUACCUCUUGUUGGUGAGUGGCAUCCUUCCUUUCAUCGCUGUCUUCGUGGAAUUCAGCUUUGUUUUCACUUCCAUCUGGUCACUCAGGCCUUUUCACUUCUACGGAUUUCUCACCGUUACAGCAAUUUUUUACAUUGUCGUAACCGCGUGCGUGUCGGUUGUUGCGACUUUUGUACUGCUGUCGACAGAGAACCAUUACUGGAAAUGGAUGUCCAUCGGCUUCGGGGCAUCCUGCGCAGCUUACACUUUUGCCUAUGCGGUCUUCUUUUAUCUUUUCAAGACCUCGAUGCAUGGACCGUUCAUGCUUGUGCUGUACUACUCGUAUUGCUUUGUGAUUAUGUUGUUUUUAGCUCUCAUCGGUGGAACGGUGAGCUAUUUCGCUGCCUCUUACUUUGUGAAGGCGAUUUAUGCGCAAGCGAAGAAUGACUGAGCUGAGAAAGCGAAGAGGGGCUUGCCAUUCGGGUAUGCCUGCGCGGUGGCGGCUCUGGAGAGGAAACUACGAUUGAUUUGCAUCUUUGAAGGAGCUACUUGCGAUGCUCCUACUGAUUCCCUCUGUUUCUCCUUUUUCGGAGCUGUUCUGAAAAUGUUUCGGGGGCCCUCCGCAAAUGGAAAAACAUAGAAAUCGAAGUUUUAGCUAGAUUCGAAUCGAAGAGCUUUUUGGUCCCUGCCUCCGUGUACCUUUUUUUUUUUUGAAGGCACAUCACAUUUUCUACAUCCACGUGUACGCGCGAGGGACUUGGCCCUUGCCCUGCCUGGUUCAAGCUUUGAUUCUUCAUGUUGGUCGAAAUUACUGAGGUAAUAGGCACCAAAGAUGCAGAUUCAAUGUGCUGAAGAAUACAGCUGUUUACUGGAAGUGGCCAGUACAGUACCUCUGUUUUGUCUAGCGGAAGCCACAGCAUAUAUAUAUAUAUAUAUAUAUAUAUAUAUUCCUGAGAUAGUGGCUACGCAAGACCAGAAAAAGGAAGCGUCGCCGUGGCUCGGUCUUUCGUAAUAAUGGAGAAUGAUUUUUAUGCGACUGAUUUUGAGCAGAAACGAAAACAUGC